AGGAACAGAGAAUGGAAGAAUGCAUGUCUAUGUACUGAUGAGGCACGCUAAACUAACUAAAGCCAGCAAUGUACUGGGCGAGGCAUUUGGAGGUCCGAACGGAGCAUCAGAGGGGCGCACGUGGCUGAGAGGCUGGAGAGGAGACUGCUUGCUAGAACUUCACAAGCCCUGGUUCACAUUUUUAGUCCCACAGUCAUUAUGUGAAGCAACUUCCUACCAAAUUCCCAGCAGAGUCAGUGAGAAAGCCAGGAGGAAGUUGCAACUCCCAGAACAGAAGGGAGGUAAGUGGCUACUGCCAUGUGGGGAAGUUUGACUAAAAUUGUGCAAGAAGAGAUUCUACAUAAAUUGCUGUGGCUGGCAUUGUAUUACCAGAGGCUCCUAAGCAAAGUUGCAGGAAUGAAUUCUUCUACCAUCAUUAUUUUCAAUCAACUGUAUUAUUUGAGUAAGCAUGUAAAGCAGGGAUGGGCAAUUAAUUUUCCCAAGGGGCCAUAUGAGAAAAUGGAACUAUUGUGAAUCAACAGAACUAAGUUGCUAGAGUUCAGAAACACUGAUUUAGAUGUUUGAAGAAUGGCAGUGUUUUAUCACAGAAAAGAUGACACUUAUGGAAGAAGAAUAUUCAUAAAAGUGAAAAAGAAAGAAGAUACAGUUUCCAAGCCAUCUUCUCUUGAAAACCGAAGUCUGAUAUCAGUAAAAAUACUAAAUUGCCUUUUAACUUCAGAGGAUAAAUUCUGGGAAUAUGAAACCAAAUACAAUGAAAUCCAUGAAACAUAAGAGAGAACGUACUUUUAUCCCAGUCAAUAUAAAAAUGCUUUUAUUUUUUAUCAGUUUUUGAAAACCACACAUCUCCCAGCAGGACUCUGGGUAGGGUACAAAUAAAAUAUGAAAUAUAUAAAAAACUUUAUAUAACUUUUUAAAAGAGGCAAGCCAUGUUCAGAAUUAAUUAAAAUCCCAUAAGAAUCUAACACAAUUCAAGACAAGUCCAUCAAAUGCAAAAGAUGUUCUUUCAUUGCAUGUAGCAACCUGCCUCAUGGCCUCAUCAGUUUGCAAAUGCUGUUUGCAAACUGUUUGCAAAUCUUGCCUGUUCUGCUAUGGCAAUAUUGGCCUCUCAGGCAAAUGUGUAGAAACAAUGGUAGCACAAAAACACUCUCUGAUAUUCUGGCCCUUUCUCCCCUCACACUUUUUUUUUAAAAGUGUCAGAAGUGUCCCACAUAUUAUGAUUCCAGCUAGUACUGUUAUUUUCAAGAAUAUAGGGUGAUCUCAGGUAUUUUCAGGGAUCCUCCACAGAGAAAUUCCUUUUCACUGUAAACUUGUCAAAGCCUACACAGCAGAACAGUAAGAUCCUGCUACUUAACAGAGUUUCAGUAGCCACCAAGGCUGGCAUGGCCUUCAGACAGAAAGUUGGAUUGUUUGUAUGAUGUAUUACCUCAGGCAUGAAAGCAAAGAAAGGCCUGCUCUCUACUUCCUAAGUUAGGUUACUAUCUCAAAUUGGUGUGAGAAAGUAAGAUUCAACAGUUAGUUGACUUUUAUUCAUGCAUUGGCAAUAAAAACACUUUGAUCUGAGACUAAGAAUUGAGCAGAAGUAGGACUUGCUCUUUUAAGACUGGUAUUUUGGCUCCAGGAGGAGUGGACAACUCUGGCAACUUUAUAACUUGUGGACUUCAACUCCCAGAAUUCCUGAGCCAACAUGGUUAGUAACUGAAGUCCACAGGCUGUAGGAGCUGAAGUCCACAAAUCGUAAAGGGUCCAUAGUUGCCCACUCGUGAGUUAAACUAAUAGUACAGUACAAGGUGGGUAAGACUGAAAAGGCUCAAUGUUUGAAGGAGAAGGGUUAAACGACAAAAUGGUUUCAUCAAGCCAUGUAAUGAUUGAACAUUGGACUCUCCAUUUAAUAAAACAUUAGUCUAGCAGAAAAUCAGUUAUUUUCAUUGACAAAUUUCAGUGGUGUCAACUAAUAGUGCUCUGUAGAUCAUGUUUAUAUUUUUUGUUAUAUCUCUAUUUUUAUU
This is a non-coding RNA of Notechis scutatus (mainland tiger snake), 2003 nucleotides long. The record is from RefSeq and is a predicted model, not a curated record. Lineage: Eukaryota; Metazoa; Chordata; Lepidosauria; Squamata; Elapidae.